CUUAAAACAUAAGGAAACCCUAGCACUCCUUCACUAUGGCGACCGAUGGCAUGAGACCCCCCCCCCCUCUCUUCCGAAACUCCUUGUGCUUAAACACCUCUUCACACCUCUCGGAGCAAGUUGAUCAACCCGGAACACGUAACAUAACAUACCGAGCACCCUAAGGUUGUUAGAUGUUUUGGAUUGGGACUUGCUGUCUGAGUAGCUGGAGUGGUCAUGGGUCGAACUGGAUGGAUACAAGUGAUGGGAUGACCGAUAAUACACAUUGGUUUUGAAACACAGUUAAACAAUGAUUUCUUUUAUUUGCUUCCGCUGAACAUGUUGGUUUACAUAUAAACUCAU
Long non-coding RNA from Helianthus annuus (common sunflower), 342 nucleotides. RefSeq lists it as uncharacterized. NCBI's taxonomy places the organism in Eukaryota, Viridiplantae, Streptophyta, Magnoliopsida, Asterales, Asteraceae. The record is from RefSeq and is a predicted model, not a curated record. The transcript is spliced from 3 exons.